RNAcentral lists this transfer RNA (72 nucleotides) under Gadus morhua (Atlantic cod). RNAcentral's name for it is "tRNA-Arg (TCG) (tRNA-Arg-TCG-11-1)". It matches the Rfam family "tRNA". From Rfam's summary of the family: Transfer RNA (tRNA) molecules are approximately 80 nucleotides in length. Their secondary structure includes four short double-helical elements and three loops (D, anti-codon, and T loops). Lineage: Eukaryota; Metazoa; Chordata; Actinopteri; Gadiformes; Gadidae. The record is from Rfam by way of RNAcentral.
AGCCACGUGGCCUAAUGGAUAAGGCGUCUGACUUCGGAUUAGAAGAUGAGUGUUCAAAUCCCUUCGUGGUUA